CASGUAGGACUACCCGCUGAACUUAA
Molecule: ribosomal RNA, 26 nt
Filed under: Laccaria sp. PNG1
Lineage: Eukaryota; Fungi; Basidiomycota; Agaricomycetes; Agaricales; Hydnangiaceae
Description: partial 28S ribosomal RNA
Source: RNAcentral